RNAcentral lists this ribosomal RNA (253 nucleotides) under uncultured bacterium. RNAcentral describes it as "partial 16S ribosomal RNA". It matches the Rfam family "Bacterial small subunit ribosomal RNA", at positions 524 to 776 of the family's 1533-position model. The record is from RNAcentral.
UACGAAGGUCCCGAGCGUUGUUCGGAAUCACUGGGCGUAAAGGGAGCGUAGGCGGCGUGGUAAGUCAGAUGUGAAAUCCCCAGGCUCAACCUGGGAACUGCAUCCGAUACUGGAUGGCUUGAAUUCGGGAGAGGGAUGCAGAAUUCCAGGUGUAGCGGUGAAAUGCGUAGAUAUCUGGAGGAAUACCGGUGGCGAAGGCGGCAUCCUGGACCGACAUUGACGCUGAUGAGCGAAAGCUAGGGGAGCAAACGGG